AGUGUCUAUCAUCAGAGUUAGUCUCAGUCCAUCAGAACCAGGUUGGCUCUUUUAUAGAUAGUUGAGGCAUGCAAGAGCUCAUUCUUUAUCUGUACAUUCACUGGUUGUAUUGUAUGAGCACCUUGUCGUAUUAAUACCCCGUGUCGC
RNAcentral lists this long non-coding RNA (147 nucleotides) under Amphimedon queenslandica. RNAcentral's name for it is "uncharacterized LOC109585945". Lineage: Eukaryota; Metazoa; Porifera; Demospongiae; Haplosclerida; Niphatidae. The record is from RNAcentral.